CCAGGAUGUUGGCUUAGAAGCAGCCAUCAUUUAAAGAAAGCGUAAUAGCUCACUGGUCGAGUCGGCCUGCGCGGAAGAUGUAACGGGGCUAAACCAUGCACCGAAGCUGCGGCAGCGAACGUAUCACCCAAGACAACUUUACGGAGUUGACGAUUGACGGAGCGAAGCGACGUCAAAGCGUUCAUUAAAGUCGAGUUGGCUUAGGGAUACGUUCGUUGGGUAGGGGAGCGUUCUGUAAGCCUGUGAAGGUGUGUCGUGAGGCAUGCUGGAGGUAUCAGAAGUGCGAAUGCUGACAUAAGUAACGAUAAAGCGGGUGAAAAGCCCGCUCGCC
This 331-nucleotide ribosomal RNA is filed under the name Salmonella enterica subsp. enterica serovar Derby. Its description in RNAcentral is "partial 23S ribosomal RNA". It matches the Rfam family "Bacterial large subunit ribosomal RNA", at positions 1093 to 1338 of the family's 2925-position model. The record is from RNAcentral. Lineage: Bacteria; Pseudomonadati; Pseudomonadota; Gammaproteobacteria; Enterobacterales; Enterobacteriaceae. RNAcentral also lists the same sequence under 4 other names.